This 481-nucleotide ribosomal RNA is filed under the name swine fecal bacterium FPC23A. Its description in RNAcentral is "bacterial SSU rRNA". It matches the Rfam family "Bacterial small subunit ribosomal RNA", at positions 7 to 503 of the family's 1533-position model. RNAcentral also lists the same sequence under 1 other name. The record is from RNAcentral.
GAGAGUUUGAUUCUGGCUCAGGACGAACGCUGGCGGCGUGCCUAACACAUGCAAGUCGAGCGAGGAGAUUCCCUUCGGGGAUGAACCUAGCGGCGGACGGGUGAGUAACACGUGGGCAACCUGCCUUAUAGAGGGGAAUAGCCUUCCGAAAGGAAGAUUAAUACCGCAUAACAUUACAUUUUCGCAUGAAGAAGUAAUUAAAGGAGUAAUCCGCUAUAAGAUGGGCCCGCGGCGCAUUAGCUAGUUGGUGAGGUAACGGCUCACCAAGGCGACGAUGCGUAGCCGACCUGAGAGGGUGAUCGGCCACAUUGGGACUGAGACACGGCCCAGACUCCUACGGGAGGCAGCAGUGGGGAAUAUUGCACAAUGGGGGAAACCCUGAUGCAGCAACGCCGCGUGAGUGAUGAAGGUCUUCGGAUCGUAAAGCUCUGUCUUCAGGGACGAUAAUGACGGUACCUGAGGAGGAAGCCACGGCUAACUA